Molecule: long non-coding RNA, 5684 nt
Organism: Loxodonta africana (African savanna elephant)
Lineage: Eukaryota; Metazoa; Chordata; Mammalia; Proboscidea; Elephantidae
Exons: 5
Source: RefSeq, a predicted model, not a curated record
AGAGCCCUGGAAUCCCCUUUCAGUCAAUCCUCUUGAACUGGGGGUGGUUUAUAAAGAGAUGCGGUAGACACAGACAACUGGCUUGGUCAGCAGCUCUCCCAGGCACCUCUGGGGAGUUCCGAGAGCUCUCCCCAACCACUCACACUCCCAGUUCCUCAUCAAGCCAGUCACGUUUUCAUGACUCCCCAAACAAGUCUCCCACCAAAUAUCUCCGCACCUCCCCCACCACACGACAAUGGUCUCCCCUUCUCCUUCCGACUUCACUAGUGGAUACCAUAUUUCCUGCAUCAGCUCUGAGCAUUCCCGAAAGAUCUCAAAAAAGCAGCCGGCUCUGCAAAAACCACUGGUUUUUGCCACAAUUAUGUCCUCAUCCCCAGCUCCACAGAGGACUGUGCCUGUGUCUCCUUCUCCUUCCUCCUGGUGCAGACAUCAGGCCCUGAACCCAAAGAGGGCGUGGUGAAUGAGGUGCCAACUGGAUUCCGGAGGGAAGGGCUGCACUGGGUAGGGAGCAAUGAGAACAGGCUCUGUCUACAGGGCUGGCGUCUGGGGCCCACUCUCCCCUCAGAUCCUCCAUUGUACAUCUUCUCAGGCAUUUUGCAGGCAUUUUUCUGUUCUCUCCAGCCUCUGUGGAGCCAUCCCCCCCUGCUGCCUGCCUGUGCUGAUAAAUAUGGCGGGCGAGAAACAGCAGUUCACGGCCCACAGUUCACACGGUCCCACCCGGCAAAUAAAACCCUCAGGCAUCAGAGGAGCCCAGCGGGCGCAGUGGGCUGGGGGCUCUGUGGGCAGCGGGGGACCUGCAGAAGGAAAAUCACACCCACCCCUCGAGCCCCUGCUUGGCCCGAGGUGCGAGCUAGUGAGGACCCAGGUGCCAAGCUCUGCAGCCCGCUGCUCUCAAAGGCUCCGGCAGGCACGUUCUCCGGUGACUCAGCCGCCUCACUCCCAGGACUCUUUAAUGCCUUUUAUCUGCCACAAAUGUUCUUGUCAGGGAGCUGGUGGGUGUUAGAUGUUCAAGCAGACUCAGGAGGUGUGAGCACAUACAUACACCAUCUUUUGAAAAGCACAUUUGUCUCACUCAAAAACAAACAAAAACAACACACCUUCCUGCUUUAAAGUACUGCCCCCGGAACUAACAGCCUGCCUCUGACGUUGGAGCUCCCAGCACACUGCCUGUCCACAGACAGGGAUUGUUUUCCCCAAAGGAAAGCAGAACCUUGUACCUGGAUCAACAGUCCCUUGGUGGCAGACAUGCUGGCGGCAGGAGGAAAGCUAGGACAAGCAGACAGACAUUAGGAUGGAACCACAAAUGUGCUUGGAUGUGCUCAGAUCCUGGCAGUGCUGCCAUCCCUGGGCACUGGGCGGGCAGUGGGGGAGGGAAGCCUGUGGCAGGGCCAUGCGGGGUGAACGCGGCACAAGAAGAAAAAGGGAGUGAAAAACAUGAUGUGAUUGGACAAUAACAACUGAUGACAUAAAGUUGUUUCCUGAAUUUUCUAGUCAUAAAACCCUCAGUGAAGUCACCCUGAUCUAAGAAUCUCAGUUAUUCAUUUUCCUAGCUCAGAGGUGUGGCCUCCAACACAACUGGACAGACUCUACUCCACUCCACACAUAUUCGAAGACCAGCGAGGAAAGGCUACUCCCCAUGGGAAGGCAGGGAGAGAGGCAAGAAUAUGAAUCUGCAGAAUAAGGAAGAGGAGGAGGCACUGCAGAGACUCUGGGAUUCUUAGCACCUGGUCUACCAUCCAAGUAUUAGCAGAAAGCAGGAAAAAAGAAUAAAUGAAUGAACAAACAAAUGAAUGAAUGAACAAUCACCUGAUAUCCUGAAGCAUCUCAGUGGGGCACAGAGUUCCUCAGAGGAGAGUCUGUUUGGUACAGAAAUGCCUCAGCCUGUGAGUUGGAAUGAACUGCCAUCUGCUUUGGUGACACCAAGAGAGGACAUUUGUUUUGGCUGUUGGGCAGACGUUAAUGAGGAAGACGCCACGUGGAUUUUUAUAAUCAUCACACACCAAGAGGUUUCUUCCAGAAUCUGAAACCAUGAGAGGCCAACUGAUGAAAGUCUGUUGCUGAAAGAAAACCAAGGUGGGCAUAUCAGGUGUCACAAGUUGACUCUUUUUUCUGUUUAUGAAACCAAAACCUCUUUGGGUUGCCCAACCCCUUCGGUCAGGAGAAUCAAAGUUUAUACUGAUGCCAUUAAAUGACAGACGCGUGGUAGCACUUGUGGAGUGUGUGGUGCCUCUUUCUACAAACGGCUGUGAAGACAACUCGACAAGGUGAGAACAAUCAUGGCACCCCCAUAUGGGAUACCUCACAGCCUUUGUUCACCAAAGGAGCACCCCUGGCACCAUCAGGGGAGGGUGGGGAUGGACACAGUCCACCAGAAUUCCUCAUCCCCUCUUGACUACAUCUCAGGACCUGCCCUCCUCCACACCAAAGGUUCUGGGGCUGACCUGCAACUGCACAAGGCCCUACUUCCUCUGUAUGUCUUUGAUCACUAACACAGUCAUUGUUAUUACUGUGAUUGUGUUCAUAAUAAAAAGUGCUCUUUGAGCAAGCAGUGCUGAUCUGAAUGAGCAGAGGUCACGGGGCUGAGAACAACCUGCUUCUUUCCCUUCUUGGUUGACAUAUCUGGCUUUCUUCAACUUUUCCAGCUUUCUUCAACUUUUCCGGCUUUCUUCAACUUUUGCUUGUGAUAUGGAUAAAUGACUUGCUGCUUUGACAUAGAACGCUGGCCCUGAAGUUAGGCUUUGCUUUUGGGGCUCCUUUGAAAAGAAAUAAAGUCUAAUCUACCUCCAGAACAAGAAGCUCCAGUCUGUACCCUAUAAGGGGCAACUCAGAGCAGGGAGGGAGGGUUGCAGUGGGCAGUGGUUUUGCCUCCUACUGGGGAAUCCAAGAUGGGAGAAAGAAAAGAUCCAGUACUAUCCUCAGCAGUGAAGCAAAUGUGCCCCAGAGAGGUGGACUCAAGUCACAGAGAUGGCCUCCUCCAGUGAUCACCAGAUUUCAACAUCACCUCUGCAAUAUAACUCUGAUAUAUGGAGGCCAAAGGGAAGACGAGAGAACCCAAAUACAACAUGUCGAUCUCUGCAAAUACCUUGUUAACUUAUUGACUGUAUCUUUAUGAAAAAGCUUACAGCAAAAUGCCACCUUCUCUAUCCCUUGGCCCUUUACUCUCCCAUAUGCAUUUCAGGAUCAGCUUAUUAAAUUCUGUAGACAACAUUAUCAGAGCUUUUAUUGAAAUUAUACUUAGUUAUUGUAUUCAUCUGCCAACUGAGAGUACUGGUUUAUCUCUCCAUUUAGAUAUUCUUUCUUCUCCUCCAAUGAAAUUUUAAAAUUACCUCCAUACGUAUCUCACGCUGUAUAAAAAUCAGAUUUAUUUUGGGGUUUCUUUGUUUCUGCAGUUAAUGUUAAUAGAAUUUUUAAAAUUUCAUUUUUCUACUUAGAAGCUGCAAGUGCUUGGGAAUGCCAUUGAACUUGUAUCCAGCAAACUUUCUGAAAUUGCUUAAUUGUUUAAUAGCGCAUAUUAUCUUGGAUUUUUUAAGGUGACUACCAUAUGGGUUUCAAAAAAUGAUAAAUUUCUUCCUCUUUCAAUUCUCACACCUCUUUAUUUCUUUUCCUUCCCGUAACUUCAGUGGCUAGGACUGCCUGUACCCGAUGUUGGAGAAGUGGUGGAACCGGGCUUCUUUAUUUCUACAUGUCACGUUUUAUCAUUAGGCAGAAUGGAUGUUUACUGCAGGUGCUGGGGAUGCCCUUGAUUGUGCCCUCUAUUCACAUUUUUGAGAAAACCCAGAAUGCAUGUACAUUUUUUAUUAAAAGCUUUUUAUCCAUUUAUUGGGAUGAUUAUGCACUUUGUCUCCUUUAUCUGUAGUGGUGGUCAGCUCCACUCAGUUUCUAGUGCGAGGCUACCUAUCCCUCCAUUUCCUCAUCAUGGCACAAUCUUCACGAAUACAGUGCUGGAUUCAUUUUGAUUCAUUUUAACUAUAUUUUAUUCAGGAUUUUUUAUCUCACUGUUUAACUAUUUACGAAGCCCUUACUUUAAAGCCGGUUUGAGUUGGAUCUUCUCUUUCACUUGCAGCAGAAAGGAUUCUAACUAGCACAAGCCUGUUGAAACAAAGGCAACUUCUAGAAUAUGUGGGCUCAUGUGUGGCUGCCACCGCAAGGUUUGCUUUGGUGAUAAAAUGGGAAAUGAAGGGAACGCCCUCAAAGACAGCAUGCUGAAUACACUGUGGUACCUCCACACCACAGACUAGAUUGUUAUUGUUAGCUGCCAGUGAGUUGGCCCCCGACUCAUGUCGACUCCACGCACAACAGGAUCCGACAGUUGGGAACCGUGGGGUUUUCACUGGCUGAUUUUCCGAAGUAGAUCGUCAGACCUUUCUUCCUGGUUCACGUUAAGUUUGGAAGCUCCACCUAAAGCCUGUUCAGUUUAUCACAACAACACACAAGCCUCCACCGACAGACGAAUGGUGGCUGUGCACGAGGUGCACUGGCCGGGAAUUGAACCUGGGUGUCUCAUAUGGAAGGCAAAGAUUCUACCACUGAGCCACAGGUUAGAUUAGACUGUAGCUAACCCUGAUUCAUCCUUUUUUCAGUGGCUGCAGAGUCCGGAUUGACACCACCAUACCCCCAGAUCCCUUAUUCCAGCAGCCUGUUCAACAAACAAGAAAUGCUGAAGUUCUGUCCACUUCUCAGAGAGGCCACAAAACAAAUGGGGAAAAACCACGAGGCUGGUUUCUCACCACCUCCAAGCCCCAGGCAGAAAAAGAAAACAGAUGUCCUUCAGGGACUGUUUUGCUCCUGGCAUCCUCUCCUUGCCUUUACAGCAAAUGAACAGAGGAGCCAGAAGAAGAAAAAUGUAAAAGAACGUUAUUUUUUUUUUCUUCUGCACCAGAAGAAAAUGACUUCUCCUAAGAAAAGGACAUCACAGGUAAUGUAAUCCAGGUGAGAGAAGACUACUGCUGGGAGUGAAGCCAUGAUGCGGCCAAGUAGGUUUUUGUGGAUUACCCCAGGAACGUCCAUCCACCACUGUCAGGAACUGAAUUGUGUCCCCCCAAAACACGUGUAUCGAUUUGGCUAGGCCAUGAUUCCCAGUAUUGUGUGAUUGUUCACUAUUUUGUCACCUGAUGUGAUUUUCCUUUGUGUUGUAAAUCCUACCUCUAUGAUGUUAAUGAGAUGGGAUAGGCAGCAGUUACCUGAACGAGGCAGGGCUCAAUCUACAAGAUUGGAUUGUGUCUUGAGCCAAUCUCUUUUGAGAUAUAAAACAGAGAAAUGAGCAGAAAGACAGGGGGACCUCAAACCACCAAGACAGCAAUGCCAGGAGCACAGCGCAUCCUUUGAACCAGAGGUUCCGGUACUGAGAUGCUUCCAGACCAAGGGAAGAUUGAUGACAAGGACCUUCCUCCAGAGUUGACAGAGAGAGAAAGACAUCCCCUGGAGCUGAUGCCCUAAAUUUGGACUUGUAGCCUACUAGAGUGUGAGAAAAUAAACUUCUCUUUGUUAAAGCCAUCCACUUGUGGUAUUUCUGUUACAGUAGCACUAGAUGACUAAGACAAUCACCUUUUCUAAGGAUUCUCUUUGUAAGGAAAACUGUUACUCAGCAAACAUUUGCUAGCACCUGCUCUGUGCCAGACUCUUGGCUAAACACUGGGGAUCUGGUGACCCCUACCUUCCAGGAGUAUAAUGAGAGAUUCCAACAU